GACGAACGCUGGCGGCGUGCCUAAUACAUGCAAGUAGAACGCUGAAGGAGGAGCUUGCUUCUCUGGAUGAGUUGCGAACGGGUGAGUAACGCGUAGGUAACCUGCCUGGUAGCGGGGGAUAACUAUUGGAAACGAUAGCUAAUACCGCAUAAUAGUAGAUGUUGCAUGACAUUUGCUUAAAAGGUGCAAUUGCAUCACUACCAGAUGGACCUGCGUUGUAUUAGCUAGUUGGUGGGGUAACGGCUCACCAAGGCGACGAUACAUAGCCGACCUGAGAGGGUGAUCGGCCACACUGGGACUGAGACACGGCCCAGACGCCUACGGGAGGCAGCAGUAGGGAAUCUUCGGCAAUGGACGGAAGUCUGACCGAGCAACGCCGCGUGAGUGAAGAAGGUUUUCGGAUCGUAAAGCUCUGUUGUAAGAGAAGAACGAGUGUGAGAGUGGAAAGUUCACACUGUGACGGUAUCUUACCAGAAAGGGACGGCUAACUACGCG
RNAcentral lists this ribosomal RNA (495 nucleotides) under uncultured bacterium. Its description in RNAcentral is "partial 16S ribosomal RNA". It matches the Rfam family "Bacterial small subunit ribosomal RNA", at positions 28 to 507 of the family's 1533-position model. The record is from RNAcentral.